GAACAAUCCCAUCAGCAACCAGACUCAACAUCUGGACAUCACUCACCUCUGUCACACAUGUGCAGUUGUUCCUUCGGAAGGCCACACCCAUUGUCGUGAUUCUGUGCUCCGAUUGGUCAUCAUUGCACUGAUGGGCGUGGCUGCUGCGACUGCUUCUUCUGAUUAAUGACGUCAGAUCGACCAGAGGAUAAACAAAGAAAACAGAAAAGAUAAU
This is a long non-coding RNA of Megalobrama amblycephala (Wuchang bream), 214 nucleotides long. RefSeq lists it as uncharacterized. The transcript is spliced from 2 exons. Lineage: Eukaryota; Metazoa; Chordata; Actinopteri; Cypriniformes; Xenocyprididae. The record is from RefSeq and is a predicted model, not a curated record.